This 253-nucleotide ribosomal RNA is filed under the name uncultured bacterium. RNAcentral describes it as "partial 16S ribosomal RNA". It matches the Rfam family "Bacterial small subunit ribosomal RNA", at positions 524 to 776 of the family's 1533-position model. The record is from RNAcentral.
UACGUAGGGCGCAAGCGUUGUCCGGAAUUAUUGGGCGUAAAGAGCUCGUAGGUGGUUUGUCGCGUCUGCCGUGAAAGCCCGGGGCUUAACUCCGGGUCUGCGGUGGAUACGGGCAGACUAGAGGCAGGUAGGGGAGAACGGAAUUCCCGGUGUAGCGGUGAAAUGCGCAGAUAUCAGGAGGAACACCAGCGGCGAAGGCGGCGCUCUGGGCUGGAACUGACGCUGAGGAGCGAAAGCGUGGGGAGCGAACAGG